UUUAAAAAACCUCCACACCAAAAUAAACCCGAACCAAAACCGUUCAACCCUUAUGCCUUCCCUCUCCCAUCACAUUUCCUGCCUCAUUUCCUCCACAGACCCGCCGUCGUGGAAUCAACUCUCGUCCUCUUCCUUCUCCAACACCACCCUCGCCCGUCGCCUCCACUCCCGUCUCCUCCUUCACCCACCGUCCCAUCGCCCCUCCUCCAUUUCCUACUUCAGCACCUGCCCACGCCUCACCGCCCUCACCCAGCGCAUGCGACCCUCAAAAACGGUCGUCGCUCCUUCCCUUCCCUUCCAAACAUCCUGUCGACCAUCCCUUAGCCACCCAAACCUCCACGCUCAGCAAAACUGAAAAACCCCCACAACUACCCAAACUCGGUUGCUCACCAAAUCGGACGAUUCCUAGCUUCCCAUAGGUCAACUCAGGGACUACCCAAUUCCAUCCUCCAAGCUUCAAUUUCAAUUUCCUCCAAUUUCGGUUAGUGUUCGAAUUUUUAGGUCGAAAUUUACGAUUUUCCAAAUUUGGAUCAAUUGGGUAGAAUAGUUGUGAACCUCAUGCUUGCGAUGCUGUCUAUGAAUGCCUAGGAUGUUGCUUGUGCGAUUGAACUUGUUGCUCGCUUGAAUUUUUAGUUUUUCGAUAUCAUUAGAAUUUUCGAGUUUAGCCGAUUUUUGAAAAUCUGAAAUUUCGAGUUGUUGUUGCUAUCCAGGUGUUUAUUAUGCUUUGUUGGUGACUUCAUAUGCCUCCGACCUACUUGUUUGCUUAACCUCUUGUUGAUUCGAUGAAAUUUGCAAUUUUUCAUAAUUUUUUGGAUACCGACAUUUUGUGGAAUUUGUUGGGUAUAACUGUGCUCUCUUAUGCUUUGAUGCCGUACUUGAUGAUUAUGAUGGCUAGUUGAUAUGACUAAUGCUAUUGCUGUAAAUUGUCAGUUCCAUCGAAUUCUUUGCAUUUGGGACCUUUUUGAUGGUUAUAAAGCUUGUUGUGAUUGUAGGAAUCUGCCCGUACCUAUUGCUCUGCCUUGAUUUGGCCGACUGAUUCAUGUGCAUGUCUCCAAACUGUGGAUGCUCAUUUGGUUUACUUGUAAUUCAAUUGAUUGGAGUAACUAGUUAUUCUUGUCUUUGGAUUGAUGCUUCUCAUUGAGCUUGCCUUGCCAUAAUGGGGUUGUUUUGUUCUAUGCUUCGUGAGGACGUGAACUUUCUAAGUGUGGGAGGAGAAAUGAUUGAUUUGUACUAUUGUUGGUGCUAACCUAUAUGCAAAUGUCUUCUCGAUUGGUCUUUGUUCAACAGAUUUGCAGGAUGAGGAAGAAGUUUGUUGUUGGUGCUAGUAUGGGGAAGGUUAUUCACACUGGAAAGAGACUACGAUUGAAUACUCCAGAGUUUUUUUCUGCAGCGGCUUCACCACCUUUUGCCAUGGCUGCUCCUCCCCAUCCACAGCGAGCUGCAGCCUUGUCUUCUGCUGCUCCCUAGGGUCCACCUUGUUCCAGCUGCUGCUUCAGCCUUACCACCCUCAGACUUGGUGCAGAGGAUCUUCAACUUCGACGAGGGAGUGAGUUUGCCCACCGAUACGGAGUGUAUCGAACUUGGGUAGUGGCGCCUCAGGGAUACCUCGACUUGCAGAGCUUUGUGGAUAAGGGAUGGGGGAGCUAGCUGAUUGGAUACAGAACUAAGCAGGGAUUUGGUUGUCGGUAUAUGUCGAUGAUUAAGAGCUCCCACAUGCAACCAGGGGGUACUACUCCACUCUCACGAUCGAAAAUUACACCUCUACCCGAGAGACAGGUAGUAUCACAUUUCGGCUCGGAGGUCCAGGUUUAUCUUUCAUGGUAGAUGGGUUUUUACACCCGGGAGCAGGUGACUGACUUGGAGCUGGUUUCGUUGGCCACCAUGGAGAAGAAGGCAAUUCCAAACCCGAGGGAGUUUUGGCAGGAUAUCUCGUGGGGAGAUACCACUUAUUCUGCUCGCUCAUCAAAGGUAAGAUGGGUUAAUUUGCCUAGGCAGAGGCUUCUUCAUUUACUUUUUUGACGUGCCAUCACCGCCAGGAAGCAUGCUAGCAACAGAGGGGUAGUGAACUCCAUGGACUUAUGGCUCUUUUACUGACUCGAGAAGGAACUGAAGGUUCAUCUUGGAGAUUUGGUGGUUGGGUUGUGUGGGUGUGUCCUCAAGCAGAGAGGGAUGGGAGUUCUGUUUGGAGCGAGCUAUGUUGCACGGUUGGUGCGACAGCUUGGAGUGUUAGACGCCUUUGAGCAGGACCCGUUAUAUCAGCGCGGGUUUCCCCUUACAAUUCGAGCACUUAAGUAUCAUGGAGUUCCCAACCUGACAGCUUCUAUUUGCCUAAAGGGAUUAGAGGUGCGAGAGAAAGAGGGUGCAAAUUUCCAUUCAAUGUUAGUUGAGACACUCAAAAUCGAGAUGGGAGUUUGCAGAUGAGUGUGAGUGACGUUCUGGAUAAUCAGAUAGGACUCAGGCGUGACUUUCAGCAGUUAGAUGGAGACAAUAGAGCCACUUGGGAGAGCGCAGAGUAAAGAGCAGAGAGACUGGAGGGCGAGAUGCGAGGACUUCGCCAUGAUUUUCAGCACUAUGCCACUGAGAGCAGGGAUGCUUGGGGACGUUAGGACAAGAGAGCUGAGCAGUUUGCCGAGAGUCAAGCUCAGUAGGGGUAGUGGAUACAACAGCAGGGGCAGCAUAUCACCUACAUCCAUGAGUAGCAGCAUUGGCAGAGUGCACACAUAUCCUACUACCAGGACAGCUACUUCAUUGGAGCGACCUAUCCUCCUCCGUGGCCAGUAUAUCCGCCUGCACCAUAUGGCCCGAGUAUGAUCCGUACCCUCAGUUACCGGGGUACCCAUAUCCUCCACCAGAUCAGUGAUUGUUGGGACGCAUCAUUGACUCAAACUUUUGUGGUUUUUAUUUUCAUGUAAGACUUUGUGAUUUUUCUUUUCUUAAUUUUUCUUUUUGUCUGUAUAACGGAUGAUAACUUCGGUUUCAUCUAUCACUAGUACAUUGUUUUUGCUAUGAUUGGUAGGUCUCAAUAAUGAUUCUUCUAUCACAUCUCACCAUCAAACUCCAUUUUAUCAACACAAUUCGGUAUCAACUAUUCUCUUCUGUAAUGUGACUUCAUGUGAGGGUAAUGUUGGGUUCAUUGGAUGAAUUAGGGUGUUAUUAUUUCA
RNAcentral lists this long non-coding RNA (3161 nucleotides) under Linum usitatissimum (flax). RNAcentral describes it as "long non-coding RNA (LUSI_LNC005960)". The record is from RNAcentral. Lineage: Eukaryota; Viridiplantae; Streptophyta; Magnoliopsida; Malpighiales; Linaceae.